CAUGGCCCUGUAACAUGGGGCUUGAAAGCCUCCCCUUGGGGACUGGAGCCAGGAAGCACAGCCAAGAAUGUUGUGCAGGUCCAUAGCUGUCAUGUCCCCAAGAGAGGCAUCCCUCACCUCCUCUGGUAGUGACCGAAUACAUUGCAUCAAAGGUGGCUGAUGGCCACCUGUGCUAGAGGCAUGAUCAAGGUGAAUGAUGAUGGAGCAGGCUGCUCAGGAAGGCUGUGGAGCCUCCAUCCUCGGAGGGGUUCAAACACCCAACCAGCAGCAUCAGGCAUCCUGGCCUGAGCUGGGGCCUAGACAGGACCAUCUCCAGAGGUCCUAUCCCACCUUAGCCAGUCUGUGAUGUGUGGGAGAGCACCAGUGGAUGCUCUUCACUGUCAGUGCCACCUGCUUGCUUGGCCAUAGCCAGGAGGCUCAUGGCUGGCUGAGACAAGGACAAUAGGAGCCUGUUUCCUCCUCACAUCCAGUGCGAAACCAGUGAUGGGGUCCUUCACUGUUCCCUUUCCCGCACUGCUCCUUGCAGGGCUGUGACUGAGCCCUGCAGAGUGCCUCCUGGGCACAGCAGAAUGCUGUUGGAAACCAUCUGAGCUGCUGCCUCUGGACACUGUGGUGGUGAAGCGGGUUUGCUUCCACUGCACCGUAAAGGAGGCAGAGCUGUAAAUGGAACUUAGGCACCACCAGCCGCUUGGCCGACUUUGGCAUUAGGCCUCAACUACUGGGGACAAGGCAGGGUUAUUUCACAAAACAGGGAUGAAGUAUGUGGUGGGGGGUUGUUUUCCUGGCUGCCUCCUUGCUGGUGCCCCAGGGCUUGUGGCAAAGGGCAUAUGUUUGGUCUUUCCCCUUGUAUCUGUGCCCCAGGCGCGCUCCUCAUCUGCCUGCAAAAGGCUGUGUUCCCAGCCUCGGGAGCAGCUCUGUGCCGGCUGUGAGAUCUCAGCCUGGAUUAAGUGGCAAAGGCAAAUCCUCAGCUUUGAGAAGAGUACACUUGACCUUUGCCUCUGUGGAGUUACAUGCUCCCUCGGGAGGAAGUGUUGGCUCAGCCGCCGAACAAAGCACUGGCUGUCAUGGGCAGGACCUGCCUGCCUCGGGGAAGGAGGGCCUGGGGUGGGGGUCAGAUUUAUGUGCCAGGGGGAGGAAGAGACAGCAGACCCGCUGACCUAGAAACUUAGAGGUGACCGGCUCAAUUUACUGAGAAAUGCAAAGCUACGCUGCCUCCUCUGUCAGUAAAAAUACACCAUCUGGGAUGGCAGGGGCAGAUGGUCCCACUGGCACAUCCAAAUGCAAGAGGGGACUUUGCUUGAUCCAAAUGAAGUUGUGAAUCUCCUUUCCUUACUUUCCAACCUGUUUUCCUUUGUCAUGUCUUGCAGUGCCUCUCACCCUGAAUUGCUGCUAACACCUUUGCAGGUUCUCCAGAUCCCAUGGAAGAUGUAUCCAGUAGCGAACUCGGUCCUGGCACUGACUUCAGACAAUAUGUACGUGCUCAGUGAUGUUAGGUGAAGCUAAACAUGUUUUCCCUAGCAGUGGCAUGUGUACAGCCCUCACAUCAAUUCAGAUGUUUUCUCCUGCAGCACGUUCUCUGUUUUAUGCAUUGUGGCUAACUCUAGUGCCAGAGGGCCCAGCAAGGGAUAUGGGCAAACACAGAGUGGGUGUGUGGAGAGGUCUCUUUUCCACUUUGUAAUUGAGAGCUGAAGAUAGGUGGUUCAUCUGAGCUCACAGAAGCUUGUGUCAGUGCUAGGUCUGAACUGGGGGUCCGGCACCAGCACUGUGAGGCAGUGCCCUGGUUCUGUUGUCCUGGGCUCUGUUUACAAGUUAUCAGGUGUCUCUGUGCUGAUGCUCUUCCCUAUGUUCACCUAGGUAAGGUUGCUCUUACUUUGAGGACAUUUUGGGCAGCUCUGCGACACCAGCACCACAGUUUGAAGCAGACACAUAAGGAUGAAGAAUCUGGCCAAGUGCAAAGUGCCAUAGAAAUGCAUUUGCAUCUCCAUCACUGCAGGGUGAUGAGAGCACAGCAUGACAAUCAGUACUGCAGGACAGGAGCACUGCCUUCACCUGUAGGUGGACCAGCAAAAUGGAAGGAGGUGAAAGGAGACUGGCAGCUGCCAGCCAGGCUGUUGCGGGGCCUGGUUUUGAGAUGGGAGGCAGUGAGCCCAGGAACAAGAAUCUGC
This is a long non-coding RNA of Pezoporus flaviventris, 2165 nucleotides long. RefSeq lists it as uncharacterized. The record is from RefSeq and is a predicted model, not a curated record. The transcript is spliced from 3 exons. Lineage: Eukaryota; Metazoa; Chordata; Aves; Psittaciformes; Psittacidae.